Molecule: ribosomal RNA, 466 nt
Filed under: uncultured bacterium
Lineage: Bacteria
Description: partial 16S ribosomal RNA
Rfam family: Bacterial small subunit ribosomal RNA
Source: RNAcentral
GAUGAACGCUGGCGGCGUGCCUAACACAUGCAAGUCGAACGAUGAAGUCCAGCUUGCUGGGUGGAUUAGUGGCGAACGGGUGAGUAACACGUGAGUAACCUGCCUUUCACUCUGGGAUAAGUCUGGGAAACUGGGUCUAAUUCUGGAUAUGACUUCUCAUCGCAUGGGGGGGGGUGGAAAGAUUUGUUGGUCUUGGAUGGAUUCGCGGCUUAUCAGCUUGGUGGUGAGGUAUUGGCUCACCAAGGCGACGACGCGUAGCCGGCCUGGGAGGGGGACCGGCCACACUGCGACUGAAACGCGGCCCGGACCCGAACGCUACGCAGCGGUGCGGAAGAUUGCACUAGGGACGCAAGCCUGGUGCAGCCAAGCCGCGUGGCGGAAGACGUGCUUCGGGUUGUAAACCACAUUCAGUAGGGACGAGGCGAGAGUGACGGUACCUGCAGAAGAAGCGCCGGCUAACUACGUG